This 335-nucleotide long non-coding RNA is filed under the name Gallus gallus (chicken). RNAcentral describes it as "lncRNA (ENSGALG00010014996.1)". Lineage: Eukaryota; Metazoa; Chordata; Aves; Galliformes; Phasianidae. The record is from RNAcentral.
AAAACAUGGCUAAUCCUUGACUGUGGACUGGGGAGAGCUUUGCACUCCUGAGGACUCCAGAAAAAUUCCAUCAUUUGUGAAGACAGUCACAGAGAUAGGACAUCAGAUGGUCUGGUCCUGCUGAAUGUGCCUGGGCUGCUCUACCUCUCCCUGACACUGUAGUUAUUCAGAGAGAAGGCAAAGAAGGUUCUGUGUGCAGACCUUCAAAGACUGUGGGUAUGCCUAACUGUAUUCAUGUUAGGUGCCCUUUGACUUCAGCCACAACAGAGGUGAUCCCAUCGCAAGUGAAGGAAACUUCCACAAGGAUAGCUAUGUUAAAAAAAAUAAAUAAAUUA